Molecule: ribosomal RNA, 403 nt
Filed under: uncultured microorganism
Description: bacterial SSU rRNA
Rfam family: Bacterial small subunit ribosomal RNA
Source: RNAcentral
GAGUUUGAUCGUGGCUCAGAUUGAACGCUGGCGGCAUGCCUUACACAUGCAAGUCGAACGGUAACAGGUCUUCGGAUGCUGACGAGUGGCGAACGGGUGAGUAAUACAUCGGAACGUGCCCGAUCGUGGGGGAUAACGGAGCGAAAGCUUUGCUAAUACCGCAUACGAUCUACGGAUGAAAGCAGGGGACCGCAAGGCCUUGCGCGGACGGAGCGGCCGAUGGCAGAUUAGGUAGUUGGUGGGAUAAAAGCUUACCAAGCCGACGAUCUGUAGCUGGUCUGAGAGGACGACCAGCCACACUGGGACUGAGACACGGCCCAGACUCCUACGGGAGGCAGCAGUGGGGAAUUUGGACAAUGGGCGAAAGCCUGAUCCAGCCAUGCCGCGUGCAGGAUGAAGGCCU